GAGUUAUGGGAUCAUCUAUCCUUCCCUUCGGAAAUGAUCUGAGAUGACACUGUAGCUC
This 58-nucleotide microRNA precursor is filed under the name Chlorocebus sabaeus (green monkey). RNAcentral describes it as "miRNA (ENSCSAG00000025469.1)". The record is from RNAcentral. Lineage: Eukaryota; Metazoa; Chordata; Mammalia; Primates; Cercopithecidae.